Molecule: signal recognition particle RNA, 297 nt
Filed under: Vombatus ursinus (common wombat)
Lineage: Eukaryota; Metazoa; Chordata; Mammalia; Diprotodontia; Vombatidae
Description: Metazoan signal recognition particle RNA (ENSVURG00010020384.1)
Rfam family: Metazoan signal recognition particle RNA
About the family: The signal recognition particle (SRP) is a universally conserved ribonucleoprotein. It is involved in the co-translational targeting of proteins to membranes. The eukaryotic SRP consists of a 300-nucleotide 7S RNA and six proteins: SRPs 72, 68, 54, 19, 14, and 9.
Source: Rfam by way of RNAcentral
GCUGGGCAUCGUGGUGUAUGCCUGUGAUCCCAGCUAUUGAGGAGGCUGAGGCUGAUGGAACUCUAGAGCUCAGGAGUUUUGAGCUACAGGAGGCUAUGCUGGCUAGGUGUCCACACUAAAUUCAGUAUUAAUAUUAUGAGCCCCCAGUAUAGAGGGGAGUACCGGAUUACCUAAAGAGGGCUAAAAUAACCCAUUUCAGAAAUGGAACAAAUCAAAGUUCCCAUGCCCAUCAGUAGUAGAAUUGGCCUGUGAGUAGCUCCUUUUUAUCCAGCCUGGGUGAGAGAGAGAUCCAGCCCA